Molecule: long non-coding RNA, 1247 nt
Filed under: Malus domestica (apple)
Lineage: Eukaryota; Viridiplantae; Streptophyta; Magnoliopsida; Rosales; Rosaceae
Description: long non-coding RNA (MDOM_LNC013593)
Source: RNAcentral
AUAUAUAAACCUAUGAACCUUGAAGGGGAUUUGCAUGACUAUAGCUUUGAUAAUAUGUUAUAAAUGUUUCCGCUGCUUUCGUAUAUCAAAAUUGUUUUGGAUAUGCAUGAUAGUCAUUUAGAAAUCCCAUGCUAGAAUCUCAUAGAUUUCCCUUCAAGUGGUAUCAGAGCCAAAGGUUUAUGUAUAAUGUGUCCCUUUGGAUUUUAUGCUUAUGGGUAUUAAUGUUAUGUAUGACAUAUUAUUGUUUCAUUCAAAGUAUGUUUAUCUUUUGUUUUUCAAUAGUUGAAAAAUGUUAGUCAAUAGUUGAGAAAGGUAUGGAUGCAAAGGGUGUUUUGUAUGCAUGAAUGAAAAAUGAGUUUAGAACUAGUUUGACAUAUUAUUUCUUCAUUUAAAGUAUGUUUAUCUUUUGUUUUUCAAUGGUUGAAAAAUAUAAAUCAAGAGUUGAAAAGAUAUGCAUGUAAAAGUUGUUUUGUAUGCAUGAAUGAAGAAUAAGUCAUGAACAAAAUUUGGGGUUUUGAACCAAAGGGAUGGCACGGUUUUGGGGGUGGUUUUGGGUUGUGUUUGUGUUUUAUUGUAAACCACACUCACAUCCUUUUAAAGCUAGAAAGAAGAAACCUUGUCACUUUUGUUUUUGGGUUUGAAAAAAUCACCAAGAAUACACAAAUCUUGAAAAAGUGUUCAUGGUUUUGUUCUUGGUGUUCAUAGUUUGGUUUUUGAUGAAAAUGGUUUUAAUGCAUUGUUUUGUGGUUUUGGGUGAUGUUCAUACCAUCAAUAACCAUAUCAUAUACUUAUAAAACCCUAGACUUGACUAGGAGAUUUCCAUCAAACCUUUUCACCUAAGUUUUAAAUGCCAAAACCAAGUGACAAGCAAAAUUUUGAUUUUUCUACUUUGCAUUGAAUUAAAGCAUGUGGGUGAGACUUCCCAUUCCCCCAUUAAGUGGCCGGCCUCCCUAGUGGAUUUAUCCACUUGUGGGGCUAUUUUGUAAUCUUUGAAAAGUUGAUAUUUACUUUGAAAUAUUUACGGUUUUAGCCCUAACUUUCAUAUUUACAUUUAGGCCCCUACUAACUAGAAAGUUAAAAUAUUUGAUUUUAAUUUUGUUAGUUGUUUAAACUCAUAAUAUUAUUAUACCCAUAUGCACUAAAUCUAAAUGUUUAUGUUGCAUUCCUCAAUAAUUAUUUAAAUGUGUUUAAGUAGUUAUGAAAUGGAUGACUUUGGACUUAUGCCUUAAACGAUAAUUGAGCUAUAU